RNAcentral lists this ribosomal RNA (509 nucleotides) under uncultured bacterium. Its description in RNAcentral is "partial 16S ribosomal RNA". It matches the Rfam family "Bacterial small subunit ribosomal RNA", at positions 355 to 853 of the family's 1533-position model. The record is from RNAcentral.
UGGGGAAUUUUGGACAAUGGGCGAAAGCCUGAUCCAGCCAUGCCGCGUGCAGGAUGAAGGCCUUCGGGUUGUAAACUUGCUUUGUACGGAACGAAAAGACUCUGGUUAAUACCUGGGGUCCAUGACGGUACCGUAAGAAUAAGCACCGGCUAACUACGUGCCAGCAGCCGCGGUAAUACGUAGGGUGCAAGCGUUAAUCGGAAUUACUGGGCGUAAAGCGUGCGCAGGCGGUUAUAUAAGACAGAUGUGAAAUCCCCGGGGCUCAACCUGGGAACUGCAUUUUGUGACUGUAUAGCUAGAGUACGGCAGAGGGGGGAUGGAAUUUCCGCGUGUAGCAGUGAAAUGCGUAGAUAUGCGGAGGAACACCGAUGGCNAAGGCAUCCCCUGGGCCUNUACUGACGCUCAUGCACGAAAGCGUGGGGAGCAAACAGGAUUAGAUACCCUGGUAGUCCACGCCCUAAACGAUGUCAACUGGGUUGUUGGGUCUUCACUGACUCAGUAACGAAGCU